GCAAAGGCCUUGGGGCUGUGAGGGAACAUGGCAAGAAAACCUUGAAAGGUAAUAAUUACCUAGACAAUUCCACCAUGUGUCAUCUGUAUGCCUUUGAACAACUUAACUGAGUUUCCCCAAGUCUCAGUUUCCUUGCCAACGUGAACAAGCCAACUAGAAGAUAACUUAAGAGAUGGAGAAUGGAAGCUUAAAGAAGAUAAGAAAUUUGUCCCAGUUUUCACAUCUAGUAAAUGUUUUACAGAGGCAGCUCUUGGAUUGCACUGUCAUCUGAGCAAAAGACAUGGGGUUUAGUCUCAUCUGUCACUA
This is a long non-coding RNA of Manis pentadactyla (Chinese pangolin), 306 nucleotides long. RefSeq lists it as uncharacterized. Lineage: Eukaryota; Metazoa; Chordata; Mammalia; Pholidota; Manidae. The transcript has 4 exons. The record is from RefSeq and is a predicted model, not a curated record.